Molecule: ribosomal RNA, 489 nt
Filed under: uncultured bacterium
Lineage: Bacteria
Description: bacterial SSU rRNA
Rfam family: Bacterial small subunit ribosomal RNA
Source: RNAcentral
GAUCCUGGCUCAGAACGAACGCUGGUGGCGUGCUUAUACAUGCAAGUCGAGCGAGGCAGCAAUGCCGAGCGGCGAACGGGUGAGUAACGCGUAAGCAAUCUGCCCCAUAUCAGGAAAUACCCGUGCCAACGCGCGGUUAAUGUCCAGGAGAGUGGCCCUCGCAUGGAGGGUUGACUAGAGAUUUAUCGGUAUGGGAUGAGCUUGCGUCCGAUUAGCUAGUUGGCGGGGCAACGGCCCACCAAGGCGACGAUCGGUAGCCGGCCUGAGAGGGUGAUCGGCCACAUUGGGACUGAGAUACGGCCCAGACUCCUACGGGAGGCAGCAGUAGGGAAUAUUGCACAAUGGGGGAAACCCUGAUGCAGCAACGCCACGUGUGGGAAGAAGCAUUUCGGUGUGUAAACCACUGUCAUGAGGGAAUAAGGCCCGCCUUCGGACGGGAUUGAAUGUACCUUGAGAGGAAGCACCGGCAAACUUCGUGCCAGCAGCCGC